GACAACACGAGUAAUGAGCACCUGGCACUCACCAUCCAUGCCAACAUGGCCCACUUUAACAGAAUGGUCGAAUGUGUCGUCACCACCUGCAUUGGGGACCCUAGCAUGAUGGUCCAGGACAGGGCCAGGGUGGUGGAGCUCUGAAUCCAGGUGGCCAAGGAAUACCAAGGCCUGAGGAACCUUUUCUCACUCCAUGUGAUCCUCUGGGCUCUGCAGGGCCCCUCCAUUCAGCAUUUAAAAGAGACAUGGAGAUGGGUGUCCAGGAAGAACUGUACAAAACUUAAAAAGUUGAUGAAAACAAGCCAGCAGGAGAGCAGGAAGCUGCUCAAGGAGGUGAGUGGAGGCUGGAGAUCUGGAAGGAGGGGAGGGUGUCGUCCCCUUCCUGGGCACGUUCCUCUAUCACCUGAAGCUUCUGGACAUUGGGAUGGAGGAUGAUCUGGAAGUGAGUGAGCCUGGAGGUGGGGCCAGGGAGCAGGAUCCUGAGGUUUGGGAGGCGAGAGCCCUGCACUGGGCCCUGAGCUCUCAGUACCUGGCAAACCUUCUCUCAUGAGAGCCCCAUGGCAACCCCUGGGAGCUGGAGAGUCAGGCCCAGCUUAGCAAUGCAUGAAUAGACGUCCC
Diceros bicornis minor is the source of this 618-nucleotide RNA transcript. It is a transcript of the gene named ral guanine nucleotide dissociation stimulator-like, with no coding region annotated. The transcript has 4 exons. The record is from RefSeq and is a predicted model, not a curated record. NCBI's taxonomy places the organism in Eukaryota, Metazoa, Chordata, Mammalia, Perissodactyla, Rhinocerotidae.